Molecule: long non-coding RNA, 537 nt
Filed under: Populus tremula
Lineage: Eukaryota; Viridiplantae; Streptophyta; Magnoliopsida; Malpighiales; Salicaceae
Description: long non-coding RNA (PTRE_LNC003089)
Source: RNAcentral
GGAAUGUCGCGAAACUCACCGAGUCACAGCAUUUCGCCAUUUGCGGAAGAAGUUUGAUGUGGAACAAGUACCAGAAGCAUACAUGCUCAAGAGGCAUCACCUGAAAUUCAAAGGCAAUUGAAUUUCAGCAACCAGGGCAUCGAAGUUGGAAUGUCGCGAAACUCACCGAGUCAAAGCGUUUCGCCGUUUGCGGAAGAAGUGUGAUGUGGAACAAGUAGCAGAAGCAUACAUGCUCAAGAGGGAUCACCAGAAAUUCAAAGGCAACUGAAUUUCGACAACCAGGGCAUCGAAGUCGGAAUGUCGCGAAACUCACUGAGUCAAAGCGUUUCGCCGUUUGCGGAAGAAGUUUGAUGUGGAACAAGUACUAGAAGCAUACAUGCUCAAGAAGGAUCACCCGCAAUUCAAAGGCAACUCAAUUUCGGCAACCGGGGCAUCGAAUUCGAAAUGUUGCGAAACUCACCGAUUCAAAGCGUUUCCCCGUUUGCGGAAGAAGUCUAAUGUGGAACAAGUACCAGAAGCAUACAUGCUCAAGAGGGA